Molecule: ribosomal RNA, 552 nt
Filed under: Nassarius callospira
Lineage: Eukaryota; Metazoa; Mollusca; Gastropoda; Neogastropoda; Nassariidae
Description: partial 12S ribosomal RNA
Source: RNAcentral
CGCGGUUAUACCAAGUGAUUAAGUUAUACUUUUAGGUAAAAAGAUAGUUAGGUUUAUAAAAUUAGUUUAUUAAACAUCUAUAAAAAAGUAAAAUUUGCAUAUAGAUAGCUAAUCUAAAAAUAACUAAAUAAUAUACUGAAGCUAUGAUAGUCUUGAGGGAAACUGGGAUUAGAUACCCCAUUAUUCUUGAUUGUAAAUAUAAUUAAAUUUACCAGAGUACUAUGAAUAGUUAAAAAUUUAAAACUCAAAGGGCUUGGCGGUGUUUUAGACCUAUCAGGGGAACCUGUCUCAUAAUCGACAAUCCACGCUAUAUCUAACCUCAUUUUGUAAUCAGUUUGUAUACCGUCGUCGUCAGGUAACUUUUAAAAAUAUAGAAGUUAGCAACUAAAAUUUACUGUAAAUUAAGACGUCAGAUCAAGGUGCAGCCUAUGGUGAGGAGAGGAUGGGUUACAAUUAUAAUAAUUAUAAUUACGGAAAUUUAAGUGAAAUUAUUAUUUUGAAGGAGGACUUGAAAGUAAACUAAAAUACAUAAAUAGUUUGAAUAAGGCUCUG